RNAcentral lists this small RNA (27 nucleotides) under Bombyx mori (domestic silkworm). Its description in RNAcentral is "ovarian small RNA-19088". Lineage: Eukaryota; Metazoa; Arthropoda; Insecta; Lepidoptera; Bombycidae. The record is from RNAcentral.
UAAGAAACUCAUUGAGCUGGUUGUGAA